GUGCCAGCCGCCGCGGUAAUACGAAGGGUGCAAGCGUUACUCGGAAUUACUGGGCGUAAAGCGUGCGUAGGUGGUCGUUUAAGUCCGUUGUGAAAGCCCUGGGCUCAACCUGGGAACUGCAGUGGAUACUGGGCGACUAGAGUGUGGUAGAGGGUAGCGGAAUUCCUGGUGUAGCAGUGAAAUGCGUAGAGAUCAGGAGGAACAUCCAUGGCGAAGGCAGCUACCUGGACCAACACUGACACUGAGGCACGAAAGCGUGGGGAGCAAACAGGAUUAGAUACCCUGGUAGUCCACGCCCUAAACGAUGCGAACUGGAUGUUGGGUGCAAUUUGGCACGCAGUAUCGAAGCUAACGCGUUAAGUUCGCCGCCUGGGGAGUACGGUCGCAAGACUGAAACUUAAAUGAAUUGACGG
This 413-nucleotide ribosomal RNA is filed under the name uncultured bacterium. RNAcentral's name for it is "bacterial SSU rRNA". It matches the Rfam family "Bacterial small subunit ribosomal RNA", at positions 505 to 916 of the family's 1533-position model. The record is from RNAcentral.